CCUACGGGAUGCAGCAGUGAGGAAUAUUGGUCAAUGGGCGCGAGCCUGAACCAGCCAAGUAGCGUGAAGGAUGACUGCCCUACGGGUUGUAAACUUCUUUUAUGAAGGAAUAAAGUGAGGCACGUGUGCCUUUUUGUAUGUACUUUAUGAAUAAGGAUCGGCUAACUCCGUGCCAGCAGCCGCGGUAAUACGGAGGAUCCGAGCGUUAUCCGGAUUUAUUGGGUGUAAAGGGAGCGUAGAUGGGUUGUUAAGUCAGUUGUGAAAGUUUGCGGCUCAACCGUAAAAUUGCAAUUGAUACUGGCAGCCUUGAGUACAGUUGAGGUAGGCGGAAUUCGUGGUGUAGCGGUGAAAUGCUUAGAGAUCACGAAGAACUCCGAUGGCGAAGGCAGCUUACUAAACUGCCACUGACAUUGAUGCGCGAAAGUGUGGGUAUCAAACAGGAUUAGAUACCCUAGUAGUC
Molecule: ribosomal RNA, 460 nt
Filed under: uncultured bacterium
Lineage: Bacteria
Description: partial 16S ribosomal RNA
Rfam family: Bacterial small subunit ribosomal RNA
Source: RNAcentral